UACUGCAUGUUUGAAGAAUCACAAAAAGCUUAACUGAAAGGGAGUAGAAAAUGAAAAGUCUUUGAAUUUCCAAACUUCUGCAAGGAGGAAGCAGCUGCAAAUACAUAUUUCUUUUUGUGAAGAAGAAUAGCUAACAGUAAGGAAACAAGAUCCCAGAGUGUGGAGCCCAGAACCAUGGUAAGUCAUCCGUAAGCAGGAUGUGAACUGAGUCCUGAUCAAGGAACUUUCAACAUGUGCCUGGAUGGAUUUCAGAACGGCUGUGGGUCACUUGUUCUGGGGAUGUCAGCAGUCAUGUCAUGAGCAGCAUAACAGAAAGAUCCAUGUGUUGAAGAAUUAAGGCCUCUAAUCAACCACCAGUGAGAAACUGAGGGCUACUAUCAACAGCCACAUGAAUGUACUUGGAAAUGGAUCCUUCAGUGUCAGUCAAGCUUUCUGCAGACUUCAGACUAAAUCUUGACUACAACCUCCUGAAAAACCCUGAGUCAGAACCAUCCAGUUAAACCACAACCUAUUCCUGAGUCUCAGGAACUGUAUAAUAAAAUAAAUCUUUCUCGUUUUAAACUGUCAA
Molecule: non-coding RNA, 568 nt
Organism: Equus caballus (horse)
Lineage: Eukaryota; Metazoa; Chordata; Mammalia; Perissodactyla; Equidae
Source: RefSeq, a predicted model, not a curated record